This 774-nucleotide ribosomal RNA is filed under the name uncultured Neocallimastigales. RNAcentral's name for it is "partial large subunit ribosomal RNA". It matches the Rfam family "Eukaryotic large subunit ribosomal RNA", at positions 24 to 643 of the family's 3401-position model. The record is from RNAcentral. Lineage: Eukaryota; Fungi; Neocallimastigomycota; Neocallimastigomycetes; Neocallimastigales.
UAUGUGAUCGUCUCUCGCAUAUCAAUAAGCGGAGGAAAAGAAACUAACAAGGAUUCCCCUAGUAACGGCGAGUGAAGCGGGAAGAGCUCAAAUUUGAAAUCUUAAAGGGUUUCCCUUUACGAAUUGUAGUUUAAAGAAGUGUUUUCUGUUGAGGUUUUGGUAAAAGUUCUUUGGAAUAGGACAUCAUAGAGGGUGAGAAUCCCGUAUUUGACCUUUACUUUCAACUUUGUGAUACACUUUCAAAGAGUCGGAUUGUUUGGGAAUGCAGUCCAAAAUGGGUGGUAAAUUUCAUCUAAAGCUAAAUAUUGGCGAGAGACCGAUAGCGAACAAGUACCGUGAGGGAAAGAUGAAAAGAACUUUGAAAAGAGAGUUAAACAGUACGUGAAAUUGUCAAAAGGGAAGCGUUUGACACCAGUGUUGUUUUUCUGAAAAUCAAUUAAAGAACUGUUUAUGCUAAGUUGUUUAGACUUUAUCAGCUAACUGUUUAGUUUUAGGCUUUUCUUUAAUGCACUUUUCAGUUAACAAGUCAACAUCAAUUUCUUUUGCUGUAAAAAAGCUUGAGGAAGGUGGCUUGAGAUUCGUCUUAAGUGUUUAUAGCCUCUUGCCUAUGCAGUCGGAGAGAUUGAGGUCUGCAGCGUAGAUCCUUCGGGGCUAAAUGCAUUUGUGCUAAGUUAUAGCAUUUUAUAGACAACUUGUUGACUAUGAUUUGUCUUGUAGCUUACUCGCUUAUGUUAUUUUACCUACGCUUAGGAUGUUGACACACGCGCGUGCUCG